This 695-nucleotide ribosomal RNA is filed under the name uncultured Alphaproteobacteria bacterium. Its description in RNAcentral is "bacterial SSU rRNA". It matches the Rfam family "Bacterial small subunit ribosomal RNA", at positions 8 to 749 of the family's 1533-position model. Lineage: Bacteria; Pseudomonadati; Pseudomonadota; Alphaproteobacteria. The record is from RNAcentral.
AGAGUUUGAUCAUGGCUCAGAACGAACGCUGGCGGCAGGCCUAACACAUGCAAGUCGAGCGCGCCCUUCGGGGUGAGCGGCGGACGGGUUAGUAACGCGUGGGGAUAUACCCGACACUAAGGAAUAGCCUCUGGAAACGGAGAGUAAUACCUUAUACGCCCUUCGGGGGAAAGAUUUAUCGGUGACGGAUUAGCCCGCGUUAGAUUAGAUAGUUGGUGGGGUAAUGGCCUACCAAGUCUACGAUCUAUAGCUGGUUUUAGAGGAUGAUCAGCAACACUGGGACUGAGACACGGCCCAGACUCCUACGGGAGGCAGCAGUGGGGAAUCUUGGACAAUGGGCGCAAGCCUGAUCCAGCCAUGCCGCGUGAGUGAUGAAGGCCUUAGGGUCGUAAAGCUCUUUCGCCAGAGAUGAUAAUGACAGUAUCUGGUAAAGAAACCCCGGCUAACUCCGUGCCAGCAGCCGCGGUAAUACGGAGGGGGUUAGCGUUGUUCGGAAUUACUGGGCGUAAAGCGCGCGUAGGCGGAUUAGUAAGUUAGAGGUGAAAUCCCGGGGCUCAACCCCGGAACUGCCUUUAAUACUGCUAGUCUUGAGUUCGAGAGAGGUGAGUGGAAUUCCGAGUGUAGAGGUGAAAUUCGUAGAUAUUCGGAGGAACACCAGUGGCGAAGGCGGCUCACUGGCUCGAUACUGACGCUGA